CCAAUAGUGCCGUAACAUCGCUUACUUCUCCCUUCUCAUUUUUCUUUCAUUUGUUAUUACGUUCUUACUCGUGUGGUACGUAUUUGUAGGUUAAGUCUCUUCACUCAAAGAUUAUGAAAUGGCGUAGAAGAAACUCAUCAACCGUAUUGAAUGAUUUGCAGGAAGUUAUUUGACCUCGAUUUUUCACAGUCAUGCUGUCUCAUCGUCUUAUCUGUGAUAUUCUUGGUUAUGUAUGAGUGCGUUUAAUCUAACAUCAUAUCGUUGUAUUUACAUGCAUUCACGUCAGAUGGCGAUAAUGAUGUUUUUCCUUUUCUUUUUUUAUUUUUAUUUUAUUAUUACUGUUAUAUGAAAGAUUUACGCGUUCGUCAAUUUAAGUAAUAGAAAUGAUACAAAGUAACAAGAAAGCUAUUUAUUUGAUUUAUUUGUACACGUCAAACAGAUAUAUAUAUAUAUAUAUCUAUAUAUGUAAUUAAUAUAAUUAAAUUGUACUUGAGUGUAUUGUACUUGUAUUGGACGGCAUUGUUUAUCAAGAUCAAGCUAAUAUAUUUUUUAGUGAUUCAACGUGUUAAGCAUCUUACGUAACUUAAUUAUAUACAGUUAUUGUUAUCUUUAUAUAUCAGAAUGAGUAUUACCUUCUUAAUUUUUACCAAGUAAUUAUUCUUUUUCUAAGGCACUAAAAAUAAAUUUCUAUCUUUAGUACGAUCGUAAAUAAUAUAUAGGACGCUUCAGAUGAACAAGUUAAAUUUUUUCUGUUAUUGUGUUUUCUUGAAGUUCGAGAUAUGGACGAAUAUCAACUGUCGAUGAUAUAAUAUUAGGAUCUAUGUGUUCAGAACACAUUGGACACGUCUCAUCGGAUUCGAUGAUUCUAAUAGAAAAGAUAUAUAUAUUAUUAAUUGAGAAAUUUUUUAUUUUCAGGAAAAAAAAAAAAGAAUAUUACUAACCGUAAAAAUUCACUUCUGAUAGCAGGAAAAUCGCAUUGCGGACAAACUGUAAAAUUAUCUUCUAUGAUAUGUCUUCCCUGAAAUAAAUUACAUAUGUAUAUUAUAUAGUAUAUCUAUAUAGUGUAUAAUUUAUGAAAAAACUGUACCGUAGCUAUGCAAAAUGGAAUUGUAUUCUUGCACUUAUCACAGGUUAUUUCAGUCUCAGGAACUUUACUUUUACAAUAUGGACAUGGAGUUAAAGGACGCAUUAACAUAGCUGCGAAAUUGAAUGCUGCCUGUUUCAAACCUGCUCUGUGACAUUCUAUAACUGUUGAAGUUAAAAUUGGGACGAUAUCUGUAAUAUAAAAAAUUGUGAUUGUA
Molecule: long non-coding RNA, 1301 nt
Organism: Vespula vulgaris
Lineage: Eukaryota; Metazoa; Arthropoda; Insecta; Hymenoptera; Vespidae
Exons: 3
Source: RefSeq, a predicted model, not a curated record